Bubalus bubalis (water buffalo) is the source of this 366-nucleotide long non-coding RNA. RefSeq lists it as uncharacterized. The record is from RefSeq and is a predicted model, not a curated record. The transcript is spliced from 3 exons. NCBI's taxonomy places the organism in Eukaryota, Metazoa, Chordata, Mammalia, Artiodactyla, Bovidae.
UUUAUAGUUUACUAAAUGUUCCCCUGUAGUCAUCAUCUUAUUUGAGCCAUACAACAACCUACUAAGGUAGGUAAGUUUGUUCCCAUUUUUCACAGGAAAGCCUGACUCAGCUGUACACCUUGGCUCACAAAGCUGGAUUGACUGCCUGGACAGGAAAUGAUUUAUCACAACCAGAUAAAACCAGUCAGCACAAUUCAAACACCUGGGCAAUUUUGCCUUAUCUUCCUAGGCUUAGGGAGAAAGCUCUCAUAGAUAAGACUCCUAUAAAACUCGGCUGGAAAACAGAGUUGACCUCGAUGGAAUCAAGCCCUCACAAUGUAGACUUCAAUAUCUUAAGAUAAUAAAUUUAAAAAAAGAGUCAGUAUU